Molecule: long non-coding RNA, 1259 nt
Filed under: Homo sapiens (human)
Lineage: Eukaryota; Metazoa; Chordata; Mammalia; Primates; Hominidae
Description: HSALNT0345313
Source: RNAcentral
AUGUCCUUUGCGGUGGAUCACAGCUACCUGCUGAGAAACUCCUGGAGGGCAGAGGCAUGCCUGCCAUCUUCAUCAUUGCAUUACCACCACCCAACACUAUCGGGGGACCUGCCCUGAUAAUCAGUAAAACCAACACAAAACAGAUGAAAGAAGUAACCAUCGGUAGUCCUGACAUCAACAUGAGCUUCAACCAUCGUUGAACAUUUUUCAACCAUGGAACAUAUUUUGUCACAGGAUCAACCACCAACAUGAAUGACACAGUGACUACCUGGACCAGGAAGUUUAUGACCAAUCGACCGUUCCAGAGGAAACAAAUGGUCACCAAUGUCCUUCACCCCGGAAAGGCAACAAAAUGUACAAGACCACAAUGGAUGUCAUCUUCAUAUUAAUAGUUGGACUCAGAACCCAUUUUGGUGGUGGUUAAACAAUCGUCACCCACAUUGGAGUGCAGUGGUACGAUCUCAGCUCACCAAAUCUCUGCCUCCCAGGCUUAAGCAAUUCUCCUGCCUCAGCCUCCCCCGCAGCUAGGAUUACAGGCACGCACCACUACUGCCUGGCUAAUUUUUAUGUUUUUAGUAGAGAUGGGGUUUCACCUUGUUGGCCAGGCUGGUCUUGAACUCCUGACCUCAAAUGAUCCACCCGCCUUGGCCUCCCAAAGUGCUAAGAUUACAGGCAUGGGUCACUGUGCCCAGCCUUUUCUGUAUUAAAUUUUUAAAAACACAACAUUUAAAAUAAUCAAGUCAUUCUUUUUGAAUCUACUUUGUAUUAUAGGUAUCCAAAUACUCACCUAUUCUCUCUCACAUGAUGACAAACUCGUUGAAAUGUCAUUUCAUUUUGUGGCUCCAGCCCCAGGGAUUCUGAGUCUGAUUCUAAAGGGCCUGCAUGCAGAGCAAGCAAGCCGCCUGGAUGAUUCUCUUACAGGUGUUUUAAGGGCAUCAGUUUGAGACACCCUGAUGCAAAAGAACGAACCCUCAAGGAAGUUGGCUGUACAUGUAUUUUCCUUCCUAGCACAGGAAAAGACAGAAAGAUUAUCCAAUCAGUACCACUCAUAGCACCUGAUUAUAUAUGUAUGAGGAAUUCAGAAAUGGUUUGAUCAAGGUUGAAGACCUAAAAAGUAGCUUUUCUCUCGGACACCAAGUCCCCAUCUCAUGCGUGGUUGAGUUAGUAGAAUCUGAGGAUGAUGCUUCUUCCUCCAGGAUUGGUAUCCUAUGGUUUUUGUUGUUCAGUAAAUGAAGUACCUCCAUCCCCCAACAUCCCCA